This is a long non-coding RNA of Mytilus californianus (California mussel), 671 nucleotides long. RefSeq lists it as uncharacterized. The transcript is spliced from 4 exons. NCBI's taxonomy places the organism in Eukaryota, Metazoa, Mollusca, Bivalvia, Mytilida, Mytilidae. The record is from RefSeq and is a predicted model, not a curated record.
UGACGAUUUAGAAAGAUAUUUAAAAAUACCCGUGUUGUUGAAUAAGUUUAUAUGAGGAUUGUUUGUUUGACCCCGGGAAACGAAAGUACACCUGAUGAUCAUCGUUAAAUCUUUCAUAAUAUUGCAAGAGAAAGCUGCAUCAUAAUAAUGAUGCUAAGAAGAGUUUAUGUUAUAUUUUUAUUUGCCUGGGUAUGUUGUGCAGAAGAAAGAACGAAUACGUGUGGUGUAAAAAUUUGCUUUACAUGGACAGUGACAUCAGAUAAGCUAACACUUACUUGUAAAGUCGGACACUUACAUUUUAAAGUCAAGAUAGAAGAUCCUUUUGGAAUUAGGCAGGCAGAUUGUUUACCUCCUGCUCCAACAGCAACCUGCCAAAGCCAUUACUAUAAUGGCAGUAUUUCCCAAAACAUACAGACAAACGAAACUAUUUAUGUCUUGGAAGGAAAAAUUGACCAACAAGUGAAUGGAAACUGGACUUGUCUGCAUGGGACUAAUUUAGAAAUAAGUCAUGUUGACGUAACUGUAUUGCAAAUAAAAGGUGUCAAGAACAAAUCUAAUAAAAAAAACUGGAGUACCUGUUGGACAAUUGUGAUCGUAUUUAUUGUUUUGUUGUCUGUAUGUUUACUGAUAUGUGUGUGCAUUUACAAAAAGAAAUAAAUGGAACGUAAAGU